RNAcentral lists this ribosomal RNA (721 nucleotides) under uncultured bacterium. RNAcentral describes it as "bacterial SSU rRNA". It matches the Rfam family "Bacterial small subunit ribosomal RNA", at positions 51 to 766 of the family's 1533-position model. The record is from RNAcentral.
AUACAUGCAAGUCGAACGAAUCUUCUUCGGAAGAUGAGUGGCGAACGGGUGAGUAAUACAUAGGUAACCUGCCCCUGUGCGGGGGAUAACAGGAGGAAACUCCUGCUAAUACCGCAUAGCCAUGAGCACCGCAUGGAGCUCAUGCCAAAUAUCCUUUCGGGGAUAGCGCAGGGAUGGACCUAUGGCGCAUUAGCUGGUUGGCGGGGCAACGGCCCACCAAGGCAACGAUGCGUAGCCGGCCUGAGAGGGCGGACGGCCACAUUGGGACUGAGACACGGCCCAGACUCCUACGGGAGGCAGCAGUAGGGAAUUUUCGGCAAUGGGGGAAACCCUGACCGAGCAACGCCGCGUGAGCGAAGAAGGCCUUCGGGUCGUAAAGCUCUGUUGUAAAGGAAGAACGGCACAUACAGGAAAUGGUAUGCGAGUGACGGUACUUUACCAGAAAGCCACGGCUAACUACGUGCCAGCAGCCGCGGUAAUACGUAGGUGGCGAGCGUUAUCCGGAAUCAUUGGGCGUAAAGAGGGAGCAGGCGGCCGCAAGGGUCUGUGGUGAAAGACCGAAGCUAAACUUCGGUAAGCCAUGGAAACCGGGCGGCUAGAGUGCGGAAGAGGAUCGUGGAAUUCCAUGUGUAGCGGUGAAAUGCGUAGAUAUAUGGAGGAACACCAGUGGCGAAGGCGACGGUCUGGGCCGCAACUGACGCUCAUUCCCGAAAGCGUGGGG